GUGACAGUGAGAGCCACCAUUUAAAGCCAGACCAACCCUGGUGUGGGCUGAGAUGUCCAAACCUGUUCCCUGCAGGGUGUUGGAACCAGAGCAGGACAUUCUUCAGCUUCUUCAGACUCUUGACUCUUGGGUGUUGUUGGCCCAGCUUUGGGAAGACCUGACUGUGGCCUUCCAGUGCCUGAAGGGGACAACAGGAACGAUGGAGAGAGGCUGUUUCCAAGGCCUGGAGUGACAGGACAAAGGGAAAUGGCUCUCCACUGCCAGAGGCCAGGCUAAGGAGCUGUCUGUGCACGAAUGUGGCUAAAAAAGACACUGCAGAAUACGUAGAAAAUGUGGUGAUGACUCUGGCAGAACAGACCAAGAUGAAUGCCUGGAUAAGGCAGGGAAAAGAUAAGAUUGUUCCACACUA
Molecule: long non-coding RNA, 409 nt
Organism: Vidua chalybeata
Lineage: Eukaryota; Metazoa; Chordata; Aves; Passeriformes; Viduidae
Exons: 2
Source: RefSeq, a predicted model, not a curated record